Molecule: unclassified non-coding RNA, 116 nt
Organism: Aotus nancymaae (Ma's night monkey)
Lineage: Eukaryota; Metazoa; Chordata; Mammalia; Primates; Aotidae
Rfam family: Y RNA
About the family: Y RNAs are components of the Ro ribonucleoprotein particle (Ro RNP), in association with Ro60 and La proteins. The Y RNAs and Ro60 and La proteins are well conserved, but the function of the Ro RNP is not known.
Source: Ensembl
GGCUGGUCUGAAUGCAAUGGUAUUUACAACUAGUUUGUAAGACUGUAAUGAGCCAAACACCAGUUACAGAUUUCUUUGUUCCUUCUCCACUCUACUGCUCACUUGACUUGCCUAAA